Molecule: microRNA precursor, 59 nt
Filed under: Heliconius melpomene (postman butterfly)
Lineage: Eukaryota; Metazoa; Arthropoda; Insecta; Lepidoptera; Nymphalidae
Description: Hme-Mir-9-P11_pre stem-loop
Source: RNAcentral
UCUUUGGUAUCCUAGCUGUAGGCGUGUCCUCGUACCCUAAAGUUAUGGUACCGAAGUUA